CCCUGUCGGGUUAGGGUUUUGGCGAGGAAUUGGCCGUAGUUGCCGAAUCCGAGGAUGGCGAUCUUCAGGGCUUCGGACUUGAUGUGUCGGGAGCGGAGGUGCGCCUCGUAGUCGUAGGGCUGGGCGGCGUCGAUGCAGCGGAUGCGGAGGGACCGCGAGUAGGAGGAGGAGGAGGAGGAAGGUUGCCGUGGAGAAUGGCGAGGGAGGGAGACGGUGGAGCGAGAGGAUGGGAGGAGGGAGUUAGUGGCGGGGUGGAAGGAAAUGGAAGGAGGAGAGUGUUUGGUGGUGGCGGAUCGGAGUGGAAACGCCGCCAUUGUUUGCGGCGGCGAGAGAGUCGACGGAGCGGAAGUCGGAGGUAAUUAAUUUGCUGAGACGUCGGUGGUGGAGAAUUCAGCAGCUUAAAGUAACUAAAAAAGUUGUUGGGACGUGCGUUAGCUGACGCCUUUCGAAUGCGUGGGUGGAACUUGGUCGGUUAGUUAAUCAGUCUUGGUUGGUUAAUAAUUGGUUUGAAAUUUACUGCCCACCGACCGAAUUUGAACAGUUUUCAAAACAAAAUACGUACAAAUGUGAAGAUAAUAUCAAACCCUCAACCAUUGUACCAACCGAGUUGGUUUCAACAGUGAGUGAGUUAAUCGAUAUUUGAUAACCAUCAACCGUGACCAAACCUUAAUUGUAAUAGCUCAAUCAUACAUGAGAGUGUUUUGAAGUUAUAUAGCCGUAGAAGGUUUCCUUUCUAAUAGAUUUUUAAUUUUACUGAUAAAUAAAUGCUUUACUAUUCUUCGUUUUAAUUUUUGAAAAAAUGUCCCAAAAUUCAAAUUCUAUACAUACAAUUAUGUGAAUGUCCUUCGAUCCUCACCCCACCUCUUCCGGCUUUACCACCUUAACUUCCGCCGCCGGCCACUUCCUCCUGCACCCACCAUCACCGCCACCACCUCCUACACAUCCACCACCACCACAGACACACCCAUUGCCACCACCAUCUUAGGUACCGGCUGCCCAAAGUAGGAGUCCGAAACAGGUCCCAGCGGCCCAAGUGGUGGAGCCGAAAGAGGUGGAAGUGGAGGUGAUGGCGUUCGCGUAAAUAUACAUACCAAAUUUGAAUGUUAGAGUGUUUUAUUUUUUAAAAAACUAGGCGGCGAAUAGCAAUUCAACAUCAAACGGUAAAUAUUAAAUAGCCGUAAAAGGUUUGCUCAUUAGGUGUAUUUAUAUGAAUUACUUGAAUAAACAAUUAUAUUAGGUGCUAUGGUAGUAGAAUUAUGUGUUGAUGAUUCGGUACAACUUUGCAUUAAGUUCUGCAGAGUUUGCAAACACGAAGAUUAAUUUGAAUAAUGCUCAUUUUUCCAACCAAAUUUGAAUUGGUAUAGUAACUGAAGUGAUUUCCAGGCUCAAUUUCAAGCAAAAUAACUUACUACUCCCGUUGCAAUUCCCCAGCAACCCAUAUACUUUGAAUUGAAGGGCACAUCCUAAAAAUAGUUCGAAAUCCCAAGUUCUUCAA
RNAcentral lists this long non-coding RNA (1495 nucleotides) under Linum usitatissimum (flax). Its description in RNAcentral is "long non-coding RNA (LUSI_LNC003383)". Lineage: Eukaryota; Viridiplantae; Streptophyta; Magnoliopsida; Malpighiales; Linaceae. The record is from RNAcentral.